AAAACAGUGUGUCAAUAAUGCAAAAGGACAGUUAAAGGCAGUUCAUCAUUGAAUUCAGUAAUGUCAUCAUGCAGCUCAGUUCAGUUUAAAUAGUAUCUGUGCAAUAAUUUGCAAUCAAGUCAACGAUAUCGCUGUAAAUGAAGUGUCCCCAACUAAGCAAGCCAGAGGCGACAGCAAAGUCAGAUUGUGCAGAAGAAUCAUCUAUUUCCUGUGGUCUUGUCCCGGUGGUCGUCUGAGACAAGGUCUUUACAGGGGAUCUGUCUCUGGGGCUCUAGUUGUCCUGGUCUCCGCUGUCUUUCAGGGCUGUAGAGGUCCUUUCUAGGUGCUUAUCCACCAUCUGGGCUGGAUACGUACUGGAUCCGGGUGACUGCAGUGACCCUCUGACUUGGAUACAGACUGGAUCUAGCGGCUAUGGUGACCUCGGAAUAAGAGAGAAACAGACUAAUAUUAGCAUAGAUGCCAUUCUUCUAAUGAUGUAGCAAGUAAAUUGGGUGUUAUGGGACGUGUUCCCCGGUUCCGGUUUACCUAAUUAAUGCAGCCUAAAAAUCCAUUAAUGGAUUUGGAUAUUAGAAGCAUAUUAGUGUGCUAUAUGUAAGCCAGGUUAAAGAGAUGGGUCUUUAAUCUAGAUUUAAACUGCAAGAGUGUGUCUGCCUCCCGAACAAUGUUAGGUAGGUUAUUCCAGAGUUUGGUCGCUAAAUAGGAAAAGGAUCUGCCGCCCGCAGUUGACUUUGAUAUUCUAGGUAUUAUCAAAUUGCCAGAGUUUUGAGAACGGUGCGGACGUGGAGGACUAUAAUGUAACAAGAGCUCGUUCAAAUACUGAGGUGCUAAACCAUUCAGGGCUUUAUAAGUAAUAAGCAAGAUUUUAAAUCUAUACGAUGUUUAAUAGAGAGCCAGUGCAGUGUUGACAGAACCGGGCUAAUAUGAUCAUUCUUCCUGGUUCUAGUAAGAACUCUAGCUGCUGCAUUUUGGACUAACUGGAGUUUGUUUACUAAGCUUGCAGAACAACCACCCAAUAAAGCAUUACAAUAAUCUAACCUUUAGGUCAUAAACGCAUGGAUUAACAUUUCUGCAUUUGACAUUGAGAGCAUAGGCCCUAAUUUAGAUAUAUUUUUGAGAU
This is a long non-coding RNA of Cyprinus carpio carpio, 1117 nucleotides long. NCBI's taxonomy places the organism in Eukaryota, Metazoa, Chordata, Actinopteri, Cypriniformes, Cyprinidae. The record is from Ensembl.